Molecule: long non-coding RNA, 912 nt
Organism: Astatotilapia calliptera (eastern happy)
Lineage: Eukaryota; Metazoa; Chordata; Actinopteri; Cichliformes; Cichlidae
Source: Ensembl
UCCAGUCAAAGGUCGCUGAACUCUAUAAAACAGUGCUGAUAAGAUUCACUGAGACGCAGCUGCAUCUACACAAACUGGACCGAGCUCAGAAACACAAAGGAAAGAUUACACUACUGAUCUUCUGCUUGGAUGAAAAUCCACCGAGAUGGAGGAGCUUGAGCAGACAGCAGAAAAGAAAGGAGGAAAAAGAAACCGUAGACUUUGUAGAAAAAGAAGAAAGUGUAAAAUCUUCCGUUUGUGUUGCUGUUGCUGUGCCACAGACGAUGAGUUGGAUGAAAGUGAAACGACAACAAAGCCUUUAUUGAAUAAAACUGGUGAAGCUCAGCACCUAGAGCUGAACGUUACAAGCACAGGAAGUGAAACUGAAAAUGCAUCUGUACCAUCUUCCACCAAUAAUAGAGUAGAAGAAAAAGUGGAGAUCACACGUGAAGUCAGAGGAAAGACUGAGCCACAAGACGAAAAUGAAGAUCAGUCAGAGAAAAGAGAAGACACCGCAACAGGAGGAGGAGAAUCUGAAACCUGGACUCCAUCACAACCUUUAAACAUUGAGAAGGGUAACAAUGAAAACUUUACUUCUACAGUAACAUGCAUUGAGGGAAAUAACUAUUUUAUGCUUUGCUCAUUUGCAAAGAAAUAAACAGUCUUACAAAUCCAACAGAUUCAACAGUUCAGAUCCAAAAGUGUCUAAACGUCAUUCAAAAUGAGCGAUAUCAUGUAAAAGCUGUCAGUGUGCACAAUAACUGAGCUGGUUCACUUCUAGACACUGACCUUCUUCCAAAACAUGGUUUAUUAGCAAAUACCCAAAAAUGUCACUUCCCUUUGUCCUGAAAAGUGACCAUGUCCUCAGCACCACCAAUCAGAAGAUGUAAAUCAGAUCAUGUGACAUUUAAACAGGCAAUUUAUCAGUUUGUU